CAGUCGCCGCGGUAACACGGAGGGAGCUAGCGUUGUUCGGAAUUACUGGGCGUAAAGCGCACGUAGGCGGUUAUUCAAGUCGGAGGUGAAAGCCCGGGGCUCAACCCCGGAACUGCCUUUGAAACUAGAUGACUAGAAUCUUGGAGAGGUCAGUGGAAUUCCGAGUGUAGAGGUGAAAUUCGUAGAUAUUCGGAAGAACAUCAGUGGCGAAGGCGACUGACUGGACAAGUAUUGACGCUGAGGUGCGAAAGCGUGGGGAGCAAACAGGAUUAGAUACCCCAGUAGUCCCUGUCUCUUAUAC
Molecule: ribosomal RNA, 301 nt
Filed under: uncultured bacterium
Lineage: Bacteria
Description: partial 16S ribosomal RNA
Rfam family: Bacterial small subunit ribosomal RNA
Source: RNAcentral